Molecule: long non-coding RNA, 679 nt
Organism: Pungitius pungitius (ninespine stickleback)
Lineage: Eukaryota; Metazoa; Chordata; Actinopteri; Perciformes; Gasterosteidae
Exons: 3
Source: RefSeq, a predicted model, not a curated record
CAGCAGCAUCUCACCCCGUCCGACCACAAAGCAGAACCUCUGCACCCUGCCAGCGACAGACUUCAGCAGGAAGCCAGAGGCUCUGAGUGGGUUUGAGAGCUGUUGGAAGGGGACGCAAGCGCGUUUCUGUUUUUGGAGAAUUGGGGGAGGAGCUUAACUCUGCUGCACAUUAAUGGGAAAAUCACCUUUAAAUGCACCUUUUUAUCUUCAAACUCUGCCAGGCGGCGUAUAAAAGGAAAGCUAUUUGUAACCACUGCAAACCAGAAGUAUCUUAUUACCGGAGUACUACCAGCCUGAAGUACCACGAAGCUGAAUACUACGAGCCUGAAGUACCACGAAGCUGAAUACUACGAGCCUGAAGUACCACGAAGCUGAAUACUACGAGCCUGAAGUACCACGAAGCUGAAUACUACGAGCCUGAAGUACCACGAAGCUGAAUACUACGAGCCUGAAGUACCACGAAGCUGAAUACUACGAGCCUGAGGAACUGAGAACACGAGAUCAGACCUGUUCUUUAAGUAGACAGACGGUCCCUGAAGGCAACACAGAAACAGGAGUCUGGUUGUGGCUGCUCCGCCUCCAGAGAGUGUCAGUGACUCUUCUUGGAGGAGCCGAAGCCGGAGAAGCCCAUCACCGCCGCCAUCUCAUCGUCUUCCUCCAGGUCCACGUCCUCCUCCGC